AACGAACGCUGGCGGCAUGCCUAACACAUGCAAGUCGAACGAGACCUUCGGGUCUAGUGGCGCACGGGUGCGUAACGCGUGGGAAUCUGCCCUUUGGUUCGGAAUAACGGUUGGAAACGACUGCUAAUACCGGAUGAUGACGAAAGUCCAAAGAUUUAUCGCCAGAGGAUGAGCCCGCGUAGGAUUAGCUAGUUGGUGUGGUAAAGGCGCACCAAGGCGACGAUCCUUAGCUGGUCUGAGAGGAUGAUCAGCCACACUGGGACUGAGACACGGCCCAGACUCCUACGGGAGGCAGCAGUGGGGAAUAUUGGACAAUGGGCGAAAGCCUGAUCCAGCAAUGCCGCGUGAGUGAUGAAGGCCUUAGGGUUGUAAAGCUCUUUUACCCGGGAUGAUAAUGACAGUACCGGGAGAAUAAGCUCCGGCUAACUCCGUGCCAGCCGCGCGGUAA
Molecule: ribosomal RNA, 448 nt
Filed under: uncultured bacterium
Lineage: Bacteria
Description: partial 16S ribosomal RNA
Rfam family: Bacterial small subunit ribosomal RNA
Source: RNAcentral